CGAUAGGGGGAUCCCAAGUGCACAGGCAUAGCGCCUGUGCUUUUCGACACCCUAAGGCGGUGUCAGAAUAAGGGCUGGGCAAGACCGGUGCCAGCCGCCGCGGUAAUACCGGCAGCCCAAGUGAUGGCCGAUCUUAUUGGGCCUAAAGCGUCCGUAGCUGGCCACGCAAGUCCAUCGGGAAAUCCACCUGCCCAACAGGUGGGCGCCCGGUAGAAACUGCGUGGCUUGGGACCGGAAGGCGCGACGGGUACGUCCGGGGUAGGAGUGAAAUCCCGUAAUCCUGGACGGACCGCCGAUGGCGAAAGCACGUCGCGAGAACGGAUCCGACAGUGAGGGACGAAAGCCAGGGUCUCGAACCGGAUUAGAUACCCGGGUAGUCCUGGCCGUAAACAAUGUCUGCUAGGUGUGGCUCCCACUACGAGUGGGUGCUGUGCCGUAGGGAAGCCGCUAAGCAGACCGCCUGGGAAGUA
This 470-nucleotide ribosomal RNA is filed under the name Halobacterium salinarum. RNAcentral describes it as "bacterial SSU rRNA". It matches the Rfam family "Archaeal small subunit ribosomal RNA", at positions 368 to 837 of the family's 1478-position model. Lineage: Archaea; Methanobacteriati; Methanobacteriota; Halobacteria; Halobacteriales; Halobacteriaceae. The record is from RNAcentral.